UAAGGCCGUUAUAGCGCAAGGGAUCCACCUCUUACCAUUCCGAACAGAGAAGUUAAACCUUGCUACGCCGAUGGUACUGCCAAAGCGGGAGAGUAGGAAGCGGCCACCU
This 109-nucleotide ribosomal RNA is filed under the name Bacteroidales bacterium. The record is from RNAcentral. Lineage: Bacteria; Pseudomonadati; Bacteroidota; Bacteroidia; Bacteroidales.